Molecule: long non-coding RNA, 1071 nt
Organism: Lolium rigidum
Lineage: Eukaryota; Viridiplantae; Streptophyta; Magnoliopsida; Poales; Poaceae
Exons: 3
Source: RefSeq, a predicted model, not a curated record
UUGCGAAGUCCUGCAGUAAUGAUGCUUCAAGGUAAGAUAUGGAUAAUGCUAUACUGACCAUAUGAGGUAUGGCAUAAGAAAUAUGUUUUUUUCCAUUAUUAAUUUACACUUAAUGCAGGUUGACAUUCUGCCUGUCCAAUACAGUUAUCCUCAGAGAGAUAAUCUCGAGGAAACAAGUACAGUUUUAGCUGCACUAGAGAGGAUUGAAUCUUGGAUAUUUUCUCGGAUUGUCACGACAGUUUGGUGGCAGGUAAUAUUUUACUCAGAUCAUAUGAUCUUGGUGACUCUUAAGUCUUAACUGUGAGCAUCCCUUGCUCCAAACUAGGCUUGCAAUUCUAUAAGAAUUACUCUGCAGUGAUUCUCUUAGCCCUACUGAUCUCUAAAUAAUUCUUGUUCCUCCACAUUGUGAAUUUUCUGAAGAACGUUCUUUUCCAGGCAUUAACUCCUCACAAGCAAAAGUGCGAUACCUAAUGAAUUCGGAAGGUAAUGGUUGGGAGGUGGACACUGUCAGAGCUUUUUUCCAUAAUGAGCUGGCUGACGCAAUUUUCCAAAUCCCUGUCAGUCGACAAGGAGCUAACUUCUUCACUCACCAAGGUAAUAUUGGGAGAGGGUCGAGUUCAGUCUGUUCAGAGUUGGAGAAGAAAGUUGUUCUCUGGAGAUUUGGGUGGCCCGAAAUGACUGCAGAAAUAAUGUUGUGCAUCUGCAUCCGUCAAGAGUGGCUUCCAAGAUAUGUGUAAAUGUCGAUGCAGCUUUAUUCCUAGAAGACAGACGUACGGGAUGGGGGCAGUGCUUCGAGAUCACAAUGGAGAUUUCAUCCUAUCUCUCAGUGAAGGUGUGGAGGGCUUCCUUUCCCCGGAGCUAGCUGAAGCCCUUCUGUUCGGCGUGCGUUAACUGUCGCUCGGAGGCAUGUCGUCACAAAAGUGGUACUGGUAUCAGAUUGCCUCUCUCUGAUCCAGCGGCCAUCUUCACCAGGCCAGGACCGUUCUAUCCUUGGUUCGGUGAUCGGAGAUAUCAAAACCAUAAUGACAGACUUUGAGUCUUGCUUGUUUAAUUUCGCUAGUCGCAGACUGA